Molecule: unclassified non-coding RNA, 300 nt
Filed under: uncultured fungus
Lineage: Eukaryota; Fungi
Description: sequence contains 5.8S rRNA gene, ITS2
Rfam family: 5.8S ribosomal RNA (bases 1-71)
Source: RNAcentral
GUGAAUCAUCGAAUCUUUGAACGCAUAUGGCGCUCGAGGCUUCGGCCAAGAGCAUGUCUGCCUCAGCGUCGGGUUAAUAUCACACCCACAUACCCUGUGUAUGUGAUUCCGUGUGGACCUGGCCGUUCCAGUUCAGUGCUCGACCACCUUGACUGGUGAUCGAAUCAGUCACCCUGGAUCGGCUGAAGAGCAGAGGCUAACUCUGGACCCGCUACGGGCCGCAAUUGAGUAGGCACUUGUUGCUAAUACUUUAAUUGUUGGUCUGGGACUAUUGUUCGGCCCUAACCAGGAAAUUAACCU